Non-coding RNA from Choloepus didactylus (southern two-toed sloth), 587 nucleotides. The record is from the annotation of a RefSeq genome assembly. Lineage: Eukaryota; Metazoa; Chordata; Mammalia; Pilosa; Megalonychidae.
UGGAAAAAUAUUUUCUGAAAGUCAAAGAAAUCACCCAUAUGAACAUGAAAACCUCCUGUUUCUUCCUCUUUCUGGUGGCAGCUUCCAGAUGUGUCCUGUCCCAGGUGCAGGUGAAGGAGUCGGGACCUGGCCUGGUGAAGCCCUCACAGACCCUGUCCCUCACCUGCUCUGUCUCUGGAUCCUCUUACACCAUCGCUAAUAUGAAAUGGAAGCGACAGGCCCCUGGAAAGGGGCAGGAGCAUGUUGGAGUAAUAUCAAGAUAUGGAAGCACAAUCUAUAACCCAGCUUUUCAGUCACGAGUCGCCAUCACCAGAGACACCUCCAAGAAAGAAUUUUAUUUAAAGCUGAGCAGCGUGACACCCGAGGACACGGCCACAUAUUACUGUGGGAUAUACACAGUGAGGGGAAGUCAGGGUGAGCCCAGACAAAAACCUCCCCUGAGGGCACGGGAGGGGCUGGGCUGCAGGUGGCGUUGGGGAACACCAGGGGGCCGUCAAGGGCCAUCCACAGGAACAGACAUAGAGAGGGUCUGGGAGGAGUUUCCCGGCCUUGCCUGGGGUUCCCUCUUCUUGCUCCACAGUAUGUAA